Molecule: RNA transcript, 3687 nt
Organism: Cannabis sativa
Lineage: Eukaryota; Viridiplantae; Streptophyta; Magnoliopsida; Rosales; Cannabaceae
Gene name: coatomer subunit beta'-1
Exons: 26
Source: RefSeq, a predicted model, not a curated record
GGCCUCAAACCGAGCCUCAACCGGAUUCCAACACACUCUCUCACCCACUCGACUUGCCUGGUUGCGUCUUGUCUCACACGUUUUCUUCAUCGUCGAUUACUGGACUGCCACAGAGAGAGCCGAGCGACCUCCCAACUAAGUUUCCGGCCCCUGCUUUGGUUUCAGAGAACUCGAUUUUUCACUCCACGAUUUUCUUUUCGAGCUUCGUCCUCACUCUACUACCAGUUCUUUAUUUCGAUUUCCUAAGUCUAUCAUCUCUAACGCCCGAAAAUGCCUCUCAGGCUGGACAUCAAGAGAAAGUUUAUACAAAGAACUGAAAGAGUAAAAUCAGUGGAUUUGCAUCCAACUGAACCAUGGCUUCUUGCAAGUUUGUAUUCAGGAACUGUGUACAUUUGGAACUACCAAUCACAGACCAUGGUAACAUCUUUUGAAGUUUCUGAGCUCCCAGUUAGGUCAGCUAAAUUUAUAGCACGCAAGCAGUGGAUAGUUGCUGGAGCUGAUGACAUGUCUAUUCGCGUAUACAAUUACAAUACAAUGGACAAGGUUAAGCUUUUUGAAGCACAUGCAGACUAUAUUAGAUGUGUGGCUGUCCACCCAACACUUCCAUAUGUUCUAUCAUCAUCUGAUGACAUGCUUAUCAAACUCUGGGAUUGGGAGAGAGGGUGGAUGUGUAAUCAAAUAUUUGAGGGGCAUAAUCACUAUGUAAUGCAAAUUACUUUUAAUCCUAAAGACACUAAUACAUUUGCAAGUGCCUCCCUAGAUCGCACAAUUAAGGUCUGGAACCUUGGUUCGCCUGAGCCAAAUUUUACCUUGGAAGGCCACUUGAAAGGAGUAAAUUGCGUUGAUUACUUCACUGGUGGUGAUAAGCCAUUUCUAAUUAGUGGUUCUGAUGAUCAAACUGCCAAGGUAUGGGACUAUCAAACUAAAAGUUGUGUUCAGACACUUGAAGGACACACUCACAAUAUUUCUGCAGUUUGUUUUCAUCCUGAACUUCCAAUAAUAAUGACUGGUUCUGAGGAUGGAACUGUUCGAAUAUGGCAUGCAACCACUUACAGGCUUGAGAACACGCUGAAUUAUGGGCUUGAACGAGUUUGGGCUAUUGGUUAUAUGAAAGGCUCACGACGGAUUGUAUUUGGGUACGAUGAGGGAGCAAUCAUGGUUAAAAUUGGUCGAGAAGAACCAGUUGCCAGCAUGGACAAUGGGGGAAAAAUAAUUUGGGCCAAGCAUAAUGAAGUUCAAAUUGUGAAUAUCAAAAGUGUUGGGAAUACUGAGGUUGCAGAUGGAGAACGAUUGCCUUUGGCUGUCAAGGAGUUGGGAACAUGUGAUCUUUAUCCUCAAAGCUUAAAACACAAUCCCAAUGGGAGGUUUGUUGUUGUUUGUGGAGAUGGCGAGUACAUUAUAUAUACAGCCUUAGCUUGGAGAAAUAGAUCCUUUGGCUCAGCACUGGAAUUUGCCUGGUCAUCAGAAGGAGAAUAUGCAGUUAGAGAAAGUACAACAAGGAUCAAAUUAUUUAGCAAGACAUUCCAGGAGAAGAAAAGUAUUCGACCUACAUUCUUAUGUGAACACGUGUACGGGGGAACGUUACUAGCAAUGUGCUCUAAUGACUUCAUCUGCUUUUAUGACUGGAUUGAAUGCAGAUUGAUCAGGCGGAUUGAUGUUAAUGUGAAAAAUGUUUAUUGGGCUGAUAGUGGUGAUUUGGUGGCAAUAGUUAGUGAUUCAUCAUUCUACGUACUAAAAUACAAUCGAGAUGUUGUAUCAUCAUAUUUUGAUAGUGGAAGUUCAGUUGAUGAACAAGGUGUUGAGGAUGCUUUUGAGCUUCUUCAUGAAGUAAAUGAUCGUGCCAGAACAGGAAUUUGGGUUGGCGAUUGUUUCAUCUACACUAACUCUUCUUGGCGACUUAAUUACUGUGUCGGCGGAGAGGUGACAACUUUGUUCCACCUGGACCGACCUAUGUACUUGUUAGGUUAUCUGGCCAAUCAAAGUCGAGUUUAUCUUAUUGAUAAAGACUUCAAUGUCAUGGGAUACACUUUACUUCUCAGCUUGAUUGAAUACAAAACUCUUGUGAUGCGUGGAGAUCUAGAUCGCGCAAAUCAAAUUUUACCAACUAUUCCUCCAGAACAAUUCAAUAGUGUUGCUCGUUUUUUGGAAUCUCGAGGGAUGUUGGAAGAUGCACUAGAAGUGGCUACAGAUCCUGAUUACAAAUUUGAUCUGGCUAUACAGCUUGGGAGACUUGAGAUUGCAAAGGAAAUUGCUACCAAAGCCCAAAGUGAAUCCAAGUGGAAGCAGCUGGGAGAAUUAGCUAUGUCCAGUGGGCAGUUUGAAUUGGCUGAAACUUGUCUAUUGCAUGGAAUGGAUUUGAGUGGGUUGUUGCUUUUCUACUCUUCUAUUGGAGAUGCUCAAGGUAUACUAAAACUUGUUUCCCUUGCCAAAGAGCAAGGAAAGAACAAUGUGGCAUUCCUUUGUUUAUUCAUGCUGGGAAAAUUGGAAGAGUGCAUCCAACUGCUGAUAGACAGUAACCGAAUACCAGAAGCUGCUUUAAUGGCAAGAUCUUACCUUCCAAGCAAGGUGUCAGAGAUAGUCACAAUUUGGAGAGAUGACCUAAACAAGGUCAAUAAGAAAGCUGCUGAGUCAUUAGCUGAUCCUGAAGAAUACCCUAAUUUGUUUGACGACUGGGAAGUUUCUCUUUCCCUUGAAGCAGAAACUGGAAAAAAUAGUCUUCAUUUAUUUGUUCGUGAUAGUGGAUUGCCAUGGAUACAAUUUCCAGGUGCAAUUAUCCUCCUGCUGAACUGUACCCGAUCUAUGCUCAAAAAUCAACCACCAACCUCCUUGAGAAUUUUAAGAGCAUGCAAAUUGAUGAAAACAAAGAUCCAACUGAAAAUGGACAACAUGUUCAUGAGGAGAUUGCGGGGAAUGAGGAAAAUCAUGGGCAAGAAGCUGUCGUUGAAGAGGAUUCUAGUUCCUCAAAUGGUGUUGUUUUUGUGAGUAAGGCGGAUGAAGAAGAAUUGGGAGCACAGGAUGCGAACACUUCACCAGUAAAUUUGGAAGUUAAAGAUGAGAGCACUUUACCAGAAGAAUUGGAAGCAAAGGAUGAAAACACCUCGCCAUCCUAAGGUGAUGUUUCGCCAAAAGUAUGAAGUGUUUAGGAUAAAUUACCAGUUCAACAGGACAAGCUAUAGCUCCAGCUAUUAUACGCCUACCUUCUGAGUCGACUCGUAACUUCUUUUUUUGCACACCAAUGAAAGCUUCUCAAAUAUCUUUAUAUAGCAGUAGUUUUCGCGUGACCCUAUACACUUUUACAGAUGAGAAAAAGAAAAAAAAAAAUUGCUUGGAGUGUAUACAUCUAUGAAAAAGUGUGGCAAUAAAUCCUUAAAAGGAUUUCUUUUUUUAAUCGAACUCCACCAUACACCAUUAUAUUAGGUUGGCAUAUAAAGAGUCGAUAAAAGACCUUCGAAGGUACCACUGAUGCUUCCAAUAGCCUGUUGAUUUUGUAGGUAAACAAAAUCUCGAUAACUUAGUACAGUAUUACUUUACCGUUGGAAUUGCAAACUUCUUUAAUGUGAUAUACAAUUUCAUAUAAUAUGUAGUUAGGAGGAUUAGGGAUAUAAAUAUAUUUAUUUAUACUAUUGGGUUUGUUAGAAUGACAACCAGUUCAUCUCUCAUUAUACAUCUGAUACCUUUAUUUUCUAC